UUGUAUUUGAAAUUAUUCUGUAGCAAAUACUAAUAAGAUAUAAUUUGAUUGUUAUCUAACGCGUCAGUUUUUCUUUAGCAAAACAACAAGGACAACUCGCAAAUAGACGAAGACUCUGAAGGUGAUUCUGAGCAGGAAAAUCGUACACCACAUAAUGAUGAUACAUUUAUUAGACAGUGAAUGCGAAAGGAAAUUAAAGAUUUGCCCAAAAUAGAUGAUAUUCUUCAAGAUUGUUCAGAAGGGCGUCUAAUUCUUAAAAUUUACAGACAGAAAGAUAGGAAUUCUCACUCGCAAUGGAAGACGUGCACUCGUUGAGUCAUAUAACCUCAUUUGUAUUGAACUGCACUGAAGGAUGGAAGAAUUAUAAUGCAACUUUGCCUUUGAUCGUACUUGGUUGGUCCUAAAGGAAGAAUACGUCGAUCAAAGGAACCUGAUUGGAAGUUCAGUAUUUGCCGGAGUCAGAAACAAGUAGUGUCCAGCAUUCUAAAGAUAUCCAUGAUGAAUACAAAAAGCGAAUGAAUAAUGAGGGUCCGCUAUGCACCCUGUGCCACAGAAUAUGUAUUUAUGAGUCACUGGAAAUGCAGACACUCUGACGUAAACUCAA
Molecule: long non-coding RNA, 604 nt
Organism: Belonocnema kinseyi
Lineage: Eukaryota; Metazoa; Arthropoda; Insecta; Hymenoptera; Cynipidae
Exons: 3
Source: RefSeq, a predicted model, not a curated record